AUGAAUCUGGACGUGCCAAGCAGAGCCCAGCACCAACCCUGCCUUGUGUGUGUGUCAUUAACCAUCCGAUUUGGACUUGGUGCUGGGGGAAAACAGAUGACUGCAAGAGGAACUUCAGAAGGAUUCUUCUCGAGGCUGCCAGAUCUCACCUCACGUAAUUUUACAGCAUGGAGCCAACACAGCACUCCCCUCUCCACACUAUGGUAUCUGAGAACUGACCUGGAGAAGACCAGGAGCUGCUUUGGAGGUGCCCUCAGCCAUCUUGGUGUUCGUCCAUCAGUCGGAGAGCUUCGAGGGAAACUGGAGCGCUGCCCAUUUGGUUGGUGGGAGGAAUGGAGCCAAGAGCAAUCUGCAGAAACCACGG
RNAcentral lists this long non-coding RNA (364 nucleotides) under Numida meleagris (helmeted guineafowl). RNAcentral's name for it is "lncRNA (ENSNMEG00000003658.1)". The record is from RNAcentral. Lineage: Eukaryota; Metazoa; Chordata; Aves; Galliformes; Numididae.